This 95-nucleotide ribosomal RNA is filed under the name uncultured bacterium. Its description in RNAcentral is "partial 16S ribosomal RNA". It matches the Rfam family "Bacterial small subunit ribosomal RNA", at positions 1388 to 1482 of the family's 1533-position model. The record is from RNAcentral.
CACCGCCCGUCACAUCACGAAAGCCUUUUGUACUAGAAGCCGGCAAUUCAACCGCAAGGAGAUAGCCGUCCAAGAUAUGAAUGGUGAUUGGGGUG